Molecule: ribosomal RNA, 282 nt
Filed under: uncultured bacterium
Lineage: Bacteria
Description: partial 16S ribosomal RNA
Rfam family: Bacterial small subunit ribosomal RNA
Source: RNAcentral
UAGGCCCUACGGGGCGCAGCAGUGGGGAAUAUUGCGCAAUGGGGGAAACCCUGACGCAGCAACGCCGCGUGAGUGAGGAAGUAUCUCGGUAUGUAAAGCUCUAUCAGCGGGGAAGAAGGAAGACGGUACCCGACUAAGAAGCCCCGGCUAACUACGUGCCAGCAGCCGCGGUAAUACGUAGGGGGCGAGCGUUAUCCGGAUUUACUGGGUGUAAAGGGAGCGGAGACGGCGGAGCAAGUCUGAAGUGAAAGCCCGUGGCUCAACCGCGGAACCGCUUUGGAA